RNAcentral lists this ribosomal RNA (468 nucleotides) under uncultured bacterium. RNAcentral's name for it is "partial 16S ribosomal RNA". It matches the Rfam family "Bacterial small subunit ribosomal RNA", at positions 28 to 507 of the family's 1533-position model. The record is from RNAcentral.
GACGAACGCUGGCGGCGUGCUUAACACAUGCAAGUCGAACGGAAAGGCCCUGCUCUUGUGGGGUGCUCGAGUGGCGAACGGGUGAGUAACACGUGAGUAACCUGCACUUGACUUUGGGAUAACUUCAGGAAACUGGGGCUAAUACCGGAUAGGAGCUCCUGCUGCAUGGUGGGGGUUGGAAAGUUUCGGCGGUUGGGGAUGGACUCGCGGCUUAUCAGCUUGUUGGUGAGGUAGUGGCUUACCAAGGCUUUGAAGGGUAGCCGGCCUGAGAGGGUGAACGGCCACAUUGGGCCUGAGAGACGGCCCAGUCUCCUACGGGACGCAGUAGUGGGGAAUAUGGCACAAUGGGGGGAAGCCUGAUGCAGCGACGCCGCGUGCGGGAUGCCGGCCUUCGGGUUGUAAACCGCUUUCGCCUGUGACGAAGCGUGAGUGACGGUAAUGGGUAAAGAAGCACCGGCUAACUACGUG